RNAcentral lists this ribosomal RNA (2129 nucleotides) under Escherichia coli. RNAcentral describes it as "partial 23S ribosomal RNA". It matches the Rfam family "Bacterial large subunit ribosomal RNA", at positions 688 to 2797 of the family's 2925-position model. The record is from RNAcentral. Lineage: Bacteria; Pseudomonadati; Pseudomonadota; Gammaproteobacteria; Enterobacterales; Enterobacteriaceae.
CUGGGCGUUAAGUUGCAGGGUAUAGACCCGAAACCCGGUGAUCUAGCCAUGGGCAGGUUGAAGGUUGGGUAACACUAACUGGAGGACCGAACCGACUAAUGUUGAAAAAUUAGCGGAUGACUUGUGGCUGGGGGUGAAAGGCCAAUCAAACCGGGAGAUAGCUGGUUCUCCCCGAAAGCUAUUUAGGUAGCGCCUCGUGAAUUCAUCUCCGGGGGUAGAGCACUGUUUCGGCAAGGGGGUCAUCCCGACUUACCAACCCGAUGCAAACUGCGAAUACCGGAGAAUGUUAUCACGGGAGACACACGGCGGGUGCUAACGUCCGUCGUGAAGAGGGAAACAACCCAGACCGCCAGCUAAGGUCCCAAAGUCAUGGUUAAGUGGGAAACGAUGUGGGAAGGCCCAGACAGCCAGGAUGUUGGCUUAGAAGCAGCCAUCAUUUAAAGAAAGCGUAAUAGCUCACUGGUCGAGUCGGCCUGCGCGGAAGAUGUAACGGGGCUAAACCAUGCACCGAAGCUGCGGCAGCGACGCUUAUGCGUUGUUGGGUAGGGGAGCGUUCUGUAAGCCUGUGAAGGUGUACUGUGAGGUAUGCUGGAGGUAUCAGAAGUGCGAAUGCUGACAUAAGUAACGAUAAAGCGGGUGAAAAGCCCGCUCGCCGGAAGACCAAGGGUUCCUGUCCAACGUUAAUCGGGGCAGGGUGAGUCGACCCCUAAGGCGAGGCCGAAAGGCGUAGUCGAUGGGAAACAGGUUAAUAUUCCUGUACUUGGUGUUACUGCGAAGGGGGGACGGAGAAGGCUAUGUUGGCCGGGCGACGGUUGUCCCGGUUUAAGCGUGUAGGCUGGUUUUCCAGGCAAAUCCGGAAAAUCAAGGCUGAGGCGUGAUGACGAGGCACUACGGUGCUGAAGCAACAAAUGCCCUGCUUCCAGGAAAAGCCUCUAAGCAUCAGGUAACAUCAAAUCGUACCCCAAACCGACACAGGUGGUCAGGUAGAGAAUACCAAGGCGCUUGAGAGAACUCGGGUGAAGGAACUAGGCAAAAUGGUGCCGUAACUUCGGGAGAAGGCACGCUGAUAUGUAGGUGAAGCGACUUGCUCGUGGAGCUGAAAUCAGUCGAAGAUACCAGCUGGCUGCAACUGUUUAUUAAAAACACAGCACUGUGCAAACACGAAAGUGGACGUAUACGGUGUGACGCCUGCCCGGUGCCGGAAGGUUAAUUGAUGGGGUUAGCGGUAACGCGAAGCUCUUGAUCGAAGCCCCGGUAAACGGCGGCCGUAACUAUAACGGUCCUAAGGUAGCGAAAUUCCUUGUCGGGUAAGUUCCGACCUGCACGAAUGGCGUAAUGAUGGCCAGGCUGUCUCCACCCGAGACUCAGUGAAAUUGAACUCGCUGUGAAGAUGCAGUGUACCCGCGGCAAGACGGAAAGACCCCGUGAACCUUUACUAUAGCUUGACACUGAACAUUGAGCCUUGAUGUGUAGGAUAGGUGGGAGGCUUUGAAGUGUGGACGCCAGUCUGCAUGGAGCCGACCUUGAAAUACCACCCUUUAAUGUUUGAUGUUCUAACGUUGGCCCCUAAUCGGGGUUGCGGACAGUGUCUGGUGGGUAGUUUGACUGGGGCGGUCUCCUCCUAAAGAGUAACGGAGGAGCACGAAGGUUGGCUAAUCCUGGUCGGACAUCAGGAGGUUAGUGCAAUGGCAUAAGCCAGCUUGACUGCGAGCGUGACGGCGCGAGCAGGUGCGAAAGCAGGUCAUAGUGAUCCGGUGGUUCUGAAUGGAAGGGCCAUCGCUCAACGGAUAAAAGGUACUCCGGGGAUAACAGGCUGAUACCGCCCAAGAGUUCAUAUCGACGGCGGUGUUUGGCACCUCGAUGUCGGCUCAUCACAUCCUGGGGCUGAAGUAGGUCCCAAGGGUAUGGCUGUUCGCCAUUUAAAGUGGUACGCGAGCUGGGUUUAGAACGUCGUGAGACAGUUCGGUCCCUAUCUGCCGUGGGCGCUGGAGAACUGAGGGGGGCUGCUCCUAGUACGAGAGGACCGGAGUGGACGCAUCACUGGUGUUCGGGUUGUCAUGCCAAUGGCACUGCCCGGUAGCUAAAUGCGGAAGAGAUAAGUGCUGAAAGCAUCUAAGCACGAAACUUGC